GAUGAACGCUGGCGGCGUGCCUAACACAUGCAAGUCGAGCGAUUUACUUCGGUAAAGAGCGGCGGACGGGUGAGUAACGCGUGGGUAACCUGCCCUGUACACACGGAUAACAUACCGAAAGGUAGGCUAAUACGGGAUAAUAUGCUUUAGUCGCAUGGCUGAAGUAUCAAAGCUCCGGCGGUACAGGAUGGACCCGGGUCUGAUUAGCUAGUUGGUAAGGUAACGGCUUACCAAGGCGACGAUCAGUAGCCGACCUGAGAGGGUGAUCGGCCACAUUGGAACUGAGACACGGUCCAAACUCCUACGGGAGGCAGCAGUGGGGAAUAUUGCACAAUGGGCGAAAGCCUGAUGCAGCAACGCCGCGUGAGCGAUGAAGGCCUUCGGGUCGUAAAGCUCUGUCCUCAAGGAAGAUGAUGACGGUACUUGAGGAGGAAGCCCCGGCUAACUACGUGCCAGCAGCCGCCGUAA
Molecule: ribosomal RNA, 468 nt
Filed under: uncultured bacterium
Lineage: Bacteria
Description: partial 16S ribosomal RNA
Rfam family: Bacterial small subunit ribosomal RNA
Source: RNAcentral